Molecule: ribosomal RNA, 861 nt
Filed under: Clostridioides difficile
Lineage: Bacteria; Bacillati; Bacillota; Clostridia; Peptostreptococcales; Peptostreptococcaceae
Description: partial 23S ribosomal RNA
Rfam family: Bacterial large subunit ribosomal RNA
Source: RNAcentral
AAAUCCGCUUUGAUAAUGCUGGGAUGUGAUGGGGAGCGAAAUUUAGUAGCGAAGUAGCUGAUUUCACACUGUCAAGAAAAGUCUCUAUCGAGGUUAAAGGUACCCGUACCGCAAACCGACACAGGUGGGUGAGGAGAGUAUCCUAAGGCCAGCGAGAGAACUGUUGUUAAGGAACUCGGCAAAAUGACCCCGUAACUUAGGGAUAAGGGGUGCCACCAUCAGGUGGCCGCAGAGAAUAGGCCCAAGCGACUGUUUACCAAAAACAUAGGUUUCUGCUAAGUCGCAAGACGAUGUAUAGGAGCUGACGCCUGCCCGGUGCUGGAAGGUUAAGGGGAUCUGUUAGAGCAAUCGAAGCAGUGAACUUAAGCCCCAGUAAACGGCGGCCGUAACUAUAACGGUCCUAAGGUAGCGAAAUUCCUUGUCGGGUAAGUUCCGACCCGCACGAAAGGCGUAACGAUUUGGGCACUGUCUCAACAACAGACUCGGUGAAAUUGUAAUUCCGGUGAAGAUGCCGGAUACCUGCGACAGGACGGAAAGACCCCAUGGAGCUUUACUGUAGCUUGACAUUGGGUCUUGGUACUACAUGUACAGGAUAGGUGGGAGGCUUUGAAACCAGGACGCCAGUUUUGGCGGAGCCAUCCUUGGGAUACCACCCUUGUAGUACUGGGACUCUAACCAUAGGCCAUGAAUCUGGUCUUGGGACACUGUCAGGUGGGCAGUUUGACUGGGGCGGUCGCCUCCCAAAAGGUAACGGAGGCGCUCAAAGGUUCUCUCAGUACGGUCGGAAAUCGUACGUAGAGUGUAAAGGCAAAAGAGAGCUUGAUUGCAAGACAUACAGGUCGAGCAAGGAUGAAAAUCGGA